RNAcentral lists this ribosomal RNA (921 nucleotides) under uncultured archaeon. RNAcentral's name for it is "bacterial SSU rRNA". It matches the Rfam family "Archaeal small subunit ribosomal RNA", at positions 1 to 922 of the family's 1478-position model. The record is from RNAcentral.
UUCCGGUUGAUCCUGCCGGAGGUUACUGCUAUCGGAGUUCGAUUAAGCCAUGCGAGUCUAAAGGUUUCUUCGGAAACCUUGGCGGACUGCUCAGUAACACGUGGAUAACCUACCCUUGGGACUGGAAUAACCCCGGGAAACUGGGGAUAAUACCGGAUAGAUCAGGGAUGCUGGAAUGCACCUUGAUCCAAAGCUCCGGCGCCCAAGGAUGGGUCUGCGGCCUAUCAGGUAGUAGUGGGUGUAACGUACCUACUAGCCAACGACGGGUACGGGUUGUGAGAGCAAGAGCCCGGAGAUGGAUUCUGAGACACGAAUCCAGGCCCUACGGGGUGCAGCAGGCGCGAAACCUUUACAAUGUGCGAAAGCAUGAUAAGGGAACUCCGAGUGCCAGCAUCUAAUGUUGGCUGUCCUUGUGCCUAAAACGCACAAGAUAGCAAGGGCCGGGUAAGACCGGUGCCAGCCGCCGCGGUAACACCGGCGGCCCGAGUGGUAGCCGCUAUUAUUGGGUCUAAAGGGUCCGUAGCCGGUUCGAUAAGUCCUCUGGGAAAUCUGGUUGCUUAACAAUCAGACUGCCAAGGGAUACUGUCGAACUUGAGACCGGGAGAGGUAAGAGGUACUUCAGGGGUAGGAGUGAAAUCUUGUAAUCCCUGGGGGACCAUCUGUGGCGAAGGCGUCUUACCAGAACGGGUCUGACGGUGAGGGACGAAAGCUGGGGGCGCAAACCGGAUUAGAUACCCGGGUAGUCCCAGCCGUAAACGAUGCUCGCUAUGUGUCAGGUACGGUGUGACCGUAUCCGGUGCCGUAGGGAAGCCGUGAAGCGAGCCACCUGGGAAGUACGGCCGCAAGGCUGAAACUUAAAGGAAUUGGCGGGGGAGCACUACAACGGGUGGAGCCUGCGGUUUAAUUGGAUUCAACGCCGGG